This 235-nucleotide ribosomal RNA is filed under the name uncultured bacterium. RNAcentral describes it as "partial 16S ribosomal RNA". It matches the Rfam family "Bacterial small subunit ribosomal RNA", at positions 100 to 334 of the family's 1533-position model. The record is from RNAcentral.
CGGCACGGGUGAGUAACACGUAUCCAACCUGCCGUCUACUCUUGGACAGCCUUCUGAAAGGAAGAUUAAUACAAGAUGGCAUCAUGAGUCCGCAUGUUCACAUGAUUAAAGGUAUUCCGGUAGACGAUGGGGAUGCGUUCCAUUAGAUAGUAGGCGGGGUAACGGCCCACCUAGUCUUCGAUGGAUAGGGGUUCUGAGAGGAAGGUCCCCCACAUUGGACUGAGACACGGUCCAA